CCCUGAAAAGGAAGAGAGAGGAGUUAGGACGAGAGUGCCGCAGGGUCCUCCCACACCAGCAUCCCCUCUUCUGUGGUCCCGGGUGGAUGUUGAGCCAUUGGGUGUCUCUCUCAUCUGCUAAUAGAAAUGGCACCCCGGAGAGCUGGUCUUUUCAUUCCAUUUCUCCGGACCUCCCUCAGCAAAUGCUAAUUGAAUUUCCAGUUCUGUGAGAGAGAACUGGAAUCGGAUUCCCAGGCCCCAGGGAGUGGUGCCUGGCAUAACCACUGCUCUGCAAAACAACGCUGCACUUCUGUGGGUGAAAGUGCAGCCGCUCCAUUGCUUUGCUUUGAAUGAGCACUUUUUCUCGUCAGCUAGAGGUUCCAGGGCAGCUGAGGGGAACUGCCAGCGACAACAGGAGCAACUUCUUUUUCGGAGGGACCCUAGCACACCCCUUGCUACACGCGCCAGCAAAGAGCAAAGCCGCGCCAGCAAAGAGCAAAGCCACGUGUCCAUCCCUGGGGACGUCCCUCCUAUGUGCCAUCUCAUCUGCCACACCAGACAAAUCAAAUGCACAGAGAGCUUUGUCUGCAAACUUUGACUUGAAGAGGUCUUAAAACCAUGCAUUGACACGUUUGGGGGACAAAUAAUUUCGAUGUUUAAAAGAGAGUUGGCAGCUAAUUGAGAUGGUGCACAGGUGUGCUGUGGCCCACGGUGUGGAGGUAGCCAGGCGUGGCCAUCCCUCUAGAAAGAGGAAUGCGUUGGUCACUGAGAAUGUCACUUAGAUUGACAGAGCAGAACUGCACUUUUUUUGCAUUCAAAUUUUUAUUCAAAGUUUAGUCUCUCUCCUUGGGUUUCCCCUCUUUUAUGAAAUGAUCAAUUUUGGCGAAGAGCCCCCAGAAAGCAAGAUAGAAAAGAAAUAUACUCUUUACCGUGGCCGAUCAGCAACGAACCAACACUGUCCUCAUCUAAUUCUAUGUCUUCCACACUGCCCAGUAACACAAAUAACCAGAGCGCGGACGCCAAGAAUCCUUCCAAGUAAUGCAGCUAACAGACCAAGGUGACAGUUCUGACUUCUUGGGGGGUUUUCCAAGUACAUACGUAGCAUUAUAAACAAGCCUCUAUGUUGUGCUUACACAACUCACUCAAGGGAUUUUUGUUUUCACAAGUGAAAAUGUUUAUGAAAUGCUAGCCUGCGAAGCCGCUUCAGGAACCAUCUAGUGAGAUUUCCCUCCCAAGACAGGCAGCUUUCUCACAUACCGUGGAGGCCUCCUGCCGGCCUGGGGACUGACAGGUGCAGGGCCCUGACCCUAGAGGGCCAGCCUCUCCCUCGGGAGCGUGGGUUUUUCCUGUUUGAUCCUGGCUUAACUUGAACAUCUCUGGCAUUGGAGCUGCCCUCUGGAGUAGCCCAGAAGUUAGCACUCACCUCACCUUUUGCUGCAUUUCCAAGAGAUCAGCCUUUAGACUUCCUGGAAAGUGGUAGAACCACUGUCCUAUGAAACAAAGUGCUUCUGUGCUGAAAUGGAGUAAGUUCCCUGCAGCCUCUGCAAGGUAACCUACCAAGGUACAAUCUUAACUUUCUUGAUGCCCCCUUUGACAUUGAAAAUGGUGGGUGUAUUGGUUUUACUUUUUAUCAUUGAAACUACAAUUUGUUGAGCACUGACCAUGCAGGAAACCUGUUUUUCCCCGUUUUCUCUUUUGUGCUCACGGCACCUCCUGCAGUAGGUGUUCCUAUCAUCCUCUCUUUAUAGCCCAGGAGCCAAAGCUCAGCCAGCCCGAAGGAGCCAGGAUUAGAGCCUGCAUGGAUGCAACAGUCACGCUUCUCUCUAUUACGUGUCUUGCAACUUGGAGUCACAUGAUCUCAGCAUCUGAUCCACCCUGGGCUCAGAACCUCCCAGAACCUCCCAGAAUCGAGGCUCACGGCAGAGGUUCUGCACUCACCAAGGACGCGGGGGGACCAUGUCUGUGCCCAUGUGGAUCCCAGCUGCUGGGCAGAGCACACCACACAUCCAGACUCAAAAAAAUACAUGGAGUCAAAGGUCAGGUGACUGAAUCAAUGAGUAUGUUACACACCAAGAAAGACCCCUCCUUUCUGCACCCCGGGGAGCAGCCCCAGAGGCCUGGUCUCCUCCAGGAUGAAAAUGCAAACGCAGGUGCCUGGGGGCUCCCAGAGCCUUUGGCUUCACAGUUCCCUCCCGGCCCUGCCUGGAGCUUCAUGUGCCUCCCCUUUUGCUUAAUGAGAGCCGCUGUCUAAGAGUUAAGGGUUUUCUGGGUGACGUUUAACAAUAAUAAAGGUGACUGCUUAUCUAAGGAAUCCGA
Molecule: long non-coding RNA, 2295 nt
Organism: Gorilla gorilla gorilla (western lowland gorilla)
Lineage: Eukaryota; Metazoa; Chordata; Mammalia; Primates; Hominidae
Exons: 2
Source: RefSeq, a predicted model, not a curated record